GGUUGGUCUGAGUGCAGUGGUGUUUACAAUUAAUUGAUCACAACCGGUUACAGAUUCCUUUGUUCCUUCUCCACUCCCACUGCUCCACUUGAUCAGUCCUUU
RNAcentral lists this Y RNA (102 nucleotides) under Microcebus murinus (gray mouse lemur). Its description in RNAcentral is "Y RNA (ENSMICG00000047205.1)". It matches the Rfam family "Y RNA". From Rfam's summary of the family: Y RNAs are components of the Ro ribonucleoprotein particle (Ro RNP), in association with Ro60 and La proteins. The record is from Rfam by way of RNAcentral. Lineage: Eukaryota; Metazoa; Chordata; Mammalia; Primates; Cheirogaleidae.